This 468-nucleotide ribosomal RNA is filed under the name uncultured bacterium. RNAcentral's name for it is "partial 16S ribosomal RNA". It matches the Rfam family "Bacterial small subunit ribosomal RNA", at positions 28 to 507 of the family's 1533-position model. The record is from RNAcentral.
GACGAACGCUGGCGGCGUGCUUAACACAUGCAAGUCGAACGGAAAGGCCCUGCUUUUGUGGGGUGCUCGAGUGGCGAACGGGUGAGUAACACGUGAGUAACCUGCCCUUUACUUUGGGAUAACUUCAGGUAACUGGGGCUAAUACCGGAUAGGAGCUCCUGCUGCAUGGUGGGGGUUGGAAAGUUUCGGCGGUUGGGGAUGGACUCGCGGCUUAUCAGCUUGUUGGUGGGGUAGUGGCUUACCAAGGCUUUGACGGGUAGCCGGCCUGAGAGGGUGACCGGCCACAUUGGGACUGAGAUACGGCCCAGACUCCUACGGGAGGCAGCAGUGGGGAAUAUUGCACAAUGGGCGGAAGCCUGAUGCAGCAACGCCGCGUGCGGGAUGACGGCCUUCGGGUUGUAAACCGCUUUCGCCUGUGACGAAGCGUGAGUGACGGUAAUGGGUAAAGAAGCACCGGCUAACUACGUG